CCCUAGGUAGUGUGAUGAUAGGUGUUCUGAGGAAGUGUAUGGGGGCCUCGGAAUCCCUUCAGUUCGUUGGGUAGCGCCAAUGCUACGUAUGAAAAGAUUGAGCAAUAUUAAGUGGGCCCACCUCGCGCAAUCCGAGGCGGCCAGCUCAUUUCUUACCGACGAAUUGAAUAAGGCCCGGGGUAGAACUCUGGCUGGACUGAAUGAGUUGACAUCGCGUUCGGAGAUCGAAACGGUACUGGGCGAACAGGUUGUAUAUGUCUGUUGAUGGUCGCGGCUUACGUGAAGCGGGACUUUUUCGUCCCCAACACGGCUGGGUGUGUCAGCCCACGCGUUUGCUAACAGGUCAAGAUUACCGAAACGGUAUCAAGCUGCGAAUAAAUGCCCUACCAUCGAGGUCUCGUACCACGAGGGGCAGAAAUGAAUUGGAACGGCAAUGUCGUGCAGGUUGUGAUGCUCCCGAAACAACAAACCACAUCCUGCAGAAUUGUUACCGUACGCAUGGGAGGCGGGUAGCAAGACAUAACUGUGUAGUCAAUAACCUUAAGAGGAUUCUUGAGGAGAAGGGCCACACAGUACACGUCGAACCAAGUUUGCAGCUGGAAACCUCGGUAAGUAAACCAGACCUGGUGUGUAUCCGUGACAAUCACGCUUGCGUGAUUGAUGCGCAGAUUAUAACGGAUGGACUGUUUCUCGACGAUGUGCACCAUCGCAAAGUUGAGAAAUAUAAAAGACCGGAAGUUAUAUCUGCACUGCGGAGAGAAUUCGGAGUGUCGGGCAACGUCGAAGUCCUAUCCGCGACGUUAAACUGGCGUGGGAUCUGGAGCAAUCAAUCCGUUAGAAGAUUGAUAGCAAAGGGUCUCAUCUCAUCCGGUGACAGCAAUGUCAUUAGCGCCAGAGUGGUAACAGGCGGACUAUAUUGCUUCAGACAGUUCAUGUAUCUCGCAGGUUACACUCGAGAUUGGACUUAGCCUAUACACUAUGUUGGAGAGAAGACGCUUGCUACCUAGGCAUAAUGUGAAAUUAGGUAUAAACAUCGUGGUUGUAAAACUUGAGGUGGGUUUUUAGUACGUAUGCGUGAUUACUUCGUAAUCAUGAAUCGUGCAUGCUAGUGGGGUUUGGCCUCCACUAGUAUCUUUGAAGAUUUUCCUUCCUCAGCGAUCAAAAAAAAAAAAAAAAAAAAAAAAAAUAGCCAAAUGCCUCGUCAUUAACGAGAUUCCUACUGUCCCUAUCUACUUCGAUGGACUUGGAGUGCAGUACACGGAUGGCGACUGGACCUUCUCCGAUGUGACGGCUUCUCAGGAGAGAAUGCGGACUCUCGACAGGUUCGCCGGACUGGCGUUCUCCAGGCGACAGCAGCUGCUGAAUGCGCAAGCGGCGCACGGGCGGUGGAUUCCCUAUCCAGGCCGGUCGGGGCUAAAAGGGAGGAUCGAGCUGAGUCCUUAAGAUCGGUACCACGGGUUGUGCAGUUCCAAGGCUGCACAUUGAGGUCGGCCCCUAGUGGGAGUAUCGUGGUGGCUGUGGAUGAUACCCAAACGUUACCCGGGGAGAGCCGCUAGGCUCCUCGUGGAGUUGCGCUCUCAACCGGGUGCCGAGACCCAUAGAUCGGAAGACGUGUUAGAUACACCUCGACCCUCACCAAGGGGGAUUGUAUGCCGACCAGGAUACUUUCAAUUGGUACCAGAAGAGUCGCUAUGUACAUAGCUAUAGCUUCUUUUUAGGGGCGCUAACUGGCGCAUUGUACCAGGUUCCUGCGUAUGUAGCGGUGGUGGUGCGUGAUGGCGUGAUAUAUGUAAAUAUAUCGCACUAAUCGAGGCUAAGCUGCAGAUAAACAUUAGACGCCGUGGUUGAAAUCCCUCCCUGAGGAACCGCCACGUAAAAUAAAGCUGAGAGAUCAGAUUCAUUCUGUCCCUAUCUACUAUCUAGCGAAACCACAGCCAAGGAACGGGUUUGGAAUAAUUAGCGGGAAAGAAGACCCUUUUGAGCUUGACUCUAAUCUGGCAGUGUAAGGAGACAUAAGAGGUGUAGCAUAAGUGGGAGAUAUUAGAUUUCGGUUUGGUAUCGACAAUGAAAUACCACUACUCUUAUUGUUUCCUUACUUACUUGAUUAAAUGGAACGUGUAUCAUUUCCUAGCCAUUAUACGGAUAUAUUUAUUAUAUCUUAUGGUAUUGGGUUUUGAUGCAAGCUUCUUGAUCAAAGUAUCACGAGUUUGUUAUAUAAUCGCAAACAAAUUCUUUAAUGAGAAAAUGCAUUUAUGUAUUUUCAAUUUGAAAAUUUGGUAUAACUCCAAUUACUCAGGUAUGAUCCAAUUCAAGGACAUUGCCAGGUAGGGAGUUUGACUGGGGCGGUACAUCUCUCAAAUAAUAACGGAGGUGUCCCAAGGCCAGCUCAGUGCGGACAGAAACCACACAUAGAGCAAAAGGGCAAAUGCUGACUUGAUCUCGGUGUUCAGUACACACAGGGACAGCAAAAGCUCGGCCUAUCGAUCCUUUUGGUUUAAAGAGUUUUUAACAAGAGGUGUCAGAAAAGUUACCAUAGGGAUAACUGGCUUGUGGCGGCCAAGCGUUCAUAGCGACGUCGCUUUUUGAUCCUUCGAUGUCGGCUCUUCCUAUCAUUGUGAAGCAAAAUUCACCAAGCGUUGGAUUGUUCACCCAUGCAAGGGAACGUGAGCUGGGUUUAGACCGUCGUGAGACAGGUUAGUUUUACCCUACUAAUGACAAAACGUUGUUGCGACAGCAUUCCUGCGUAGUACGAGAGGAACCGCAGGUACGGACCAAUGGCACAAUACUUGUUCGAGCGAACAGUGGUAUGACGCUACGUCCGUUGGAUUAUGCCUGAACGGCUCUAAGGUCGUAUCCGUGCUGGACUGCAAUGAUAAAUAAGGGGCAAUUUGCAUUGUAUGGCUUCUAAACCAUUAAAAGUUUAUAAUUUAUUUUAUAAACGACAAUGGAUGUGAUGCCAAUGUAAUUUGUAACAUAGUAAAUUGGGAGGAUCAUCGAUCACCUGAUGCCGCGCUAGUUGCAUAUAAAAACAUUAUUUAAUACAAUGACAAAGCC
RNAcentral lists this ribosomal RNA (3054 nucleotides) under Drosophila pseudoobscura pseudoobscura. RNAcentral's name for it is "eukaryotic LSU rRNA". The stretch from base 1874 to 3054 matches the Rfam family "Eukaryotic large subunit ribosomal RNA", at positions 1891 to 3292 of the family's 3401-position model. Lineage: Eukaryota; Metazoa; Arthropoda; Insecta; Diptera; Drosophilidae. The record is from RNAcentral.